RNAcentral lists this ribosomal RNA (449 nucleotides) under uncultured bacterium. Its description in RNAcentral is "bacterial SSU rRNA". It matches the Rfam family "Bacterial small subunit ribosomal RNA", at positions 32 to 507 of the family's 1533-position model. The record is from RNAcentral.
AACGCUGGCGGCGUGCCUAACACAUGCAAGUCGAACGAGAAAGGGGACUUCGGUCCCUCGAGUACAGUGGACGCACGGGUGAGUAACACGUGACUUAUCUACCCUCGAGUGGGGAAUAACUUCGGGAAACCGAGGCUAAUACCGCAUAAUACCCACGGGUCAAAGGAGCAAUUCGCUUGAGGAGGAGGUCGCGGCCGAUUAGUUAGUUGGCGGGGUAAUGGCCCCACCCAAGACGGUGAUCGGUAUCCGGCCUGAGAGGGCGCACGGACACACUGGAACUGAAACACGGUCCAGACUCCUACGGGAGGCAGCAGUGGGGAAUUUUGCGCAAUGGGGGAAACCCUGACGCAGCAACGCCGCGUGGAGGAUGAAGUCUCUUGGGACGUAAACUCCUUUCGAUCGGGACGAUUAUGACGGUACCGGAAGAAGAAGCCCCGGCUAACUUCGUG